UACAUUUUAGUAUAGGAGGUACGGAAAUUUUUGAAGUUUUCGGGAGUGGUUUAAUUCCACUAAAUGUAA
Molecule: transfer RNA, 69 nt
Filed under: Prosopocoilus confucius
Lineage: Eukaryota; Metazoa; Arthropoda; Insecta; Coleoptera; Lucanidae
Description: tRNA-Gln
Source: RNAcentral